AAAAGCUAUUUAAGGUAAGAUUAAUACAUUUAAUCCCGAGAAUAGAAACUCUUGAAGAAGUAAAUUAUCUACCCGUCUUGAAACACGGACCAAGGAGUCUAACAUGGAUGCGAAUGAGAAUAGCAGGAAAGCUAUAACAUGAAGAGAAAACGAAAAACUAUGAGAGUGUAGAAAUACAUUUAGCAAUAGUAUCUUUCAAUAGAAGAAGUAAAUAUGUUAGGACCCGAAAGAUGGUGAACUAUACUUGAACGGAUUGAAGCCGAAGGAAACUUUGGUGGAAGAUUCACGCAGUGUUAACGUGCAAAUUACUUGUCAUAUUUGAGUAUAGGGGCGAAAGACUCAUCGAACUAUCUAGUAGCUGGUUCCACCUGAAUAUUCCCUUAGGAAGGUCAAAGUAUUAAUAGUAUUGAUUGGUAAAGAUAAUGAUUAGGUGUAAUGGGUGAGUAUUUUCACUCAACAUCUUGUCAAACUAUGAAUAAACAAAGAAGAAUUCUCAGUGUUAAAUACACUUCAGGAAUUUAAAUAUAAACAUACUUUGAAUCGGCCAAGUCUGGUAAGCAGGACUGGCGAUGCGGGAUGAACCGAACGUCGAGAUAAAGUGCCAAAAAGAAACAUAACGAGUACCACAAAAGGUAUUCAUUCAUAUUGACAAUAGGACGGUGGCCAUGGAAGUCGGAAACCGCUAAGGAAUGUGUAACAACUCACCUAUCGAAUGAAUGAGUCCUGAAAAUGGAUGGCAUUAUAAUUUCUUAACUGAUACUCGACCGUUAAAAUGAAGACAUUUUAACGAGUAAGGAAACGAAAUGGCGUAAGGACAACAAAAGUAGUAAAGAUUUAAAGUAAUUUAGAUUGAAACUGUCCUUAGUGCAGAUCUUGGUGGUAGUAGCAAAUACUAAGAAGAGGAAAAAAACAUCUUAGAACUGAAGAGGAGAAAGGUUCCUAAACAACAUUACUUGGAUUAGGGUGAAUCGAUCCUAAAUUACAGAUGGAAAUCCUUAAGAAAUAUAUAAGUGACAUAUAGUCAAUAUAAGGAUUGAAAGGGAAUAAGAUUAAUAGUUCUUAAUCAAGAGAAUUAAUGAUUAAAUCUUAGAAAUAAGAUUAAAUCGAAUAAAAUGGUAACAUAUCAUGAACUUUAAAAUGGAGUGUGAAAAUCUACGGAAGAGUUCUCUUUUCUUCUUAACAAAAGUAAACUCCACUGAAAUGAAUCAAUCAGAGAAGUGGAAUUUAUUGGCUUUGUAAGAAAUUCAACAUAUGAUUGAAUUGUGGUAUUUUUGCAGUCUUCAUAAAAAUUAAAGGGAAUCUUAGCAUAAAGCUAAUUAAAGAAUUCUUUUGCUCGUACUAAUAACCGCAACAGGUCUCCAAGAAGCAAAAUCUUUAGUUAAAUAGAAUAACGCAGGUAAGGGAAGUCGGCAACAUAGCUCUGUAAGUUAGCAAGAAAGAGUAGCUCUGGUGAUUUCCUUGUAAAAGGAUUAAAAUCGAAUCAGAACUUUAAAGGUUAGGGGAAUCCGACUGUUUAAUAAAAACAUAGCAUUCUGAUAAAUCUAAAAGGUUCAUUACAGAAUGUGAUUUCUGCCCAGUGCUCUGAAUGUCAAGGUAAUGAAAUUUACUUAAGCGCGGGUUAACGGCGGGAGUAACUAUGACUCUCUUAAGGUAGCCAAAUGCCUCGUCAUCUAAUUAGUGACGCGCAUGAAUGGAUCACCGUGAUUCCCACUGUCCCUAUCUGCAAUCUAGUGAAACCACAGUCAAGGGAACGGGCUUGAUUGGAACGGCGGGGAAAGAAGACCCCUGUUGAGCUUGACUCUAAUUUAUCAUG
Molecule: ribosomal RNA, 1813 nt
Filed under: Entamoeba dispar SAW760
Lineage: Eukaryota; Evosea; Mastigamoebida; Endamoebidae
Description: eukaryotic LSU rRNA
Rfam family: Eukaryotic large subunit ribosomal RNA
Source: RNAcentral